CCUCGAGUCACAUUAAAAACAAAUUAAUAAACUUCAAAAUCUAUUUUAAUUACAACACAGCAAAACCUAAAUAUCUUCCCCGCGUAUGUGCUUCAAGUAAAAACAUCAAGACAUACAUCAUAUGUUCUUUGGUACCUAAAAUGUUGGUUGUAAGGGUUAGUCUUCAAUAUCCAUAAAAUAAAAUCAAUAAUAAAUUACAACAUCAAAUAAGAAUAUACAACCAUCAUCAUGAAAUUUUGCCCUGUUUGACAUAUAAUAAUGAAUCGCCACAUUUGACACUUAAAAAUCCAUUGAAUUGCCCCAUUUGACACUUAAAAAUCCAUUGAAUCGCCUCAUUUGGCACCUAGAACACAACUGAGGUCUUAGGGUGUAGAGUUUUAGUUCCUGGUUGUUUACGAGUGUUUUUGGUAAACAAAAGUGCCAGUUUUAAAAGACUACGUUCUUG
This 445-nucleotide long non-coding RNA is filed under the name Medicago truncatula (barrel medic). Its description in RNAcentral is "lncRNA gene14108". Lineage: Eukaryota; Viridiplantae; Streptophyta; Magnoliopsida; Fabales; Fabaceae. The record is from RNAcentral.